RNAcentral lists this unclassified non-coding RNA (302 nucleotides) under uncultured fungus. RNAcentral describes it as "partial contains small subunit ribosomal RNA, internal transcribed spacer 1, and 5.8S ribosomal RNA". The stretch from base 1 to 73 matches the Rfam family "Eukaryotic small subunit ribosomal RNA", at positions 1759 to 1831 of the family's 1831-position model. The record is from RNAcentral. Lineage: Eukaryota; Fungi.
GCAAACUUGGUCAUUUAGAGGAAGUAAAAGUCGUAACAAGGUCUCCGUUGGUGAACCAGCGGAGGGAUCAUUAAAGAGUUCUAAAAAACUCCCAAACCCAUGUGAACUUACCUUUGUUGCCUCGGCAGGAUCGACCAACUCCGACAGAGCCUACCCUGUAGGUGACGUUGGGCUGGCCGGCCAAGUCUUGCCGGUGGACCAUCAAACUCUGUUUAUUAUACUGUUAUUUCUGAAAUCAAAACAAAUAAGUUAAAACUUUCAACAACGGAUCUCUUGGUUCUGGCAUCGAUGAAGAACGCAGC